RNAcentral lists this transfer RNA (97 nucleotides) under Streptomyces sp. ADI98-10. RNAcentral describes it as "tRNA-Ala". Lineage: Bacteria; Bacillati; Actinomycetota; Actinomycetes; Kitasatosporales; Streptomycetaceae. The record is from RNAcentral.
GGCUCCGGUCGUCCAGGGUGCCGCCGCGGAAGGCCUUGCAGGCCUUGACGGACUUCUCGUGCCAGUUCCCGGUGUCCGUGUCGUCGCCGGAGCCGCC